GACGAACGCUGGCGGCGUGCUUAACACAUGCAAGUCGAACGGAAAGGCCCUGCUUUUGUGGGGGGCUCGAGUGGCGAACGGGUGAGUAACACGUGAGUAACCUGCCCUUGACUUUGGGAUAACUUCAGGAAACUGGGGCUAAUACCGGAUAGGAGCUCCUGCUGCAUGGUGGGGGUUGGAAAGUUUCGGCGGUUGGGGAUGGACUCGCGGCUUAUCAGCUUGUUGGUGGGGUAGUGGCUUACCAAGGCUUUGUCGGGUAGCCGGCCUGAGAGGGUGACCGGCCCCAUUGGGACUGAGAUACGGCCCAGACUCCUACGGGAGGCAGCAGUGGGGAAUAUUGCACAAUGGGCGGAAGCCUGAUGCAGCAACGCCGCGUGCGGGAUGACGGCCUUCGGGUUGUAAACCGCUUUCGCCUGUGACGAAGCGUGAGUGACGGUAAUGGGUAAAGAAGCACCGGCUAACUACGUG
RNAcentral lists this ribosomal RNA (468 nucleotides) under uncultured bacterium. Its description in RNAcentral is "partial 16S ribosomal RNA". It matches the Rfam family "Bacterial small subunit ribosomal RNA", at positions 28 to 507 of the family's 1533-position model. The record is from RNAcentral.